UAGAUACCCUGGUAGUCCCAGCCGUAAACGAUGGGCACUAGGUGUGGGGGGCAUUUGCCUUCCGUGCCGCAGCUAACGCAUUAAGUGCCCCGCCUGGGGAGUACGGCCGCAAGGCUAAAACUCAAAGGAAUUGACGGGGGCCCGCACAAGCAGCGGAGCAUGUGGCUUAAUUCGAAGCAACGCGAAGAACCUUACCAGGCUUGACAUGUAGGUGAAGUGACAGAGAUGUCGCAGCCGAAAGGAGCCUACA
This 250-nucleotide ribosomal RNA is filed under the name uncultured bacterium. Its description in RNAcentral is "partial 16S ribosomal RNA". It matches the Rfam family "Bacterial small subunit ribosomal RNA", at positions 779 to 1034 of the family's 1533-position model. The record is from RNAcentral.